Molecule: ribosomal RNA, 238 nt
Filed under: uncultured bacterium
Lineage: Bacteria
Description: partial 16S ribosomal RNA
Rfam family: Bacterial small subunit ribosomal RNA
Source: RNAcentral
UGGCGGACGGGUGAGUAACGCGUGGGUAACCUGCCUCAUACAGGGGGAUAACAGUUGGAAACGACUGCUAAUACCGCAUAAGCGCACAGUACCGCAUGGUACAGUGUGAAAAACUCCGGUGGUAUGAGAUGGACCCGCGUCUGAUUAGCUAGUUGGUGGGGUAACGGCCUACCAAGGCGACGAUCAGUAGCCGACCUGAGAGGGUGACCGGCCACAUUGGGACUGAGACACGGCCCAA